ACGACCUUGCCAAGGUCGGGGUCGAGGGUUCGAAUCCCUUCGCCCGCUCCA
RNAcentral lists this transfer RNA (51 nucleotides) under Afipia sp. RNAcentral describes it as "tRNA-Ser". It matches the Rfam family "tRNA", at positions 25 to 71 of the family's 71-position model. From Rfam's summary of the family: Transfer RNA (tRNA) molecules are approximately 80 nucleotides in length. Their secondary structure includes four short double-helical elements and three loops (D, anti-codon, and T loops). Lineage: Bacteria; Pseudomonadati; Pseudomonadota; Alphaproteobacteria; Hyphomicrobiales; Nitrobacteraceae. The record is from RNAcentral.